This 450-nucleotide ribosomal RNA is filed under the name uncultured bacterium. RNAcentral's name for it is "partial 16S ribosomal RNA". It matches the Rfam family "Bacterial small subunit ribosomal RNA", at positions 354 to 796 of the family's 1533-position model. The record is from RNAcentral.
GUGGGGAAUCUUCCGCAAUGGACGAAAGUCUGACGGAGCAACGCCGCGUGAGUGAUGACGGUCUUCGGAUUGUAAAGCUCUGUUAAUCGGGACGAAAGAGCUCUGUGUGAAUAAUGCAGAGAAGUGACGGUACCGGAAUAGAAAGCCACGGCUAACUACGUGCCAGCAGCCGCGGUAAUACGUAGGUGGCAAGCGUUGUCCGGAAUUAUUGGGCGUAAAGCGCGCGCAGGCGGGUUUUUAAGUCUGUCUUAAAAGUUCGGGGCUUAACCCCGUGAGGGGAUGGAAACUGGAAACCUAGAGUAUCGGAGAGGAAAGCGGAAUUCCUAGUGUAGCGGUGAAAUGCGUAGAUAUUAGGAAGAACACCAGUGGCGAAGGCGGCUUUCUGGACGAAAACUGACGCUGAGGCGCGAAAGCCAGGGGAGCAAACGGGAUUAGAUACCCUGGUAGUCC